Molecule: ribosomal RNA, 2814 nt
Filed under: Tyto alba (common barn owl)
Lineage: Eukaryota; Metazoa; Chordata; Aves; Strigiformes; Tytonidae
Description: eukaryotic LSU rRNA
Rfam family: Eukaryotic large subunit ribosomal RNA (bases 1919-2814)
Source: RNAcentral
GCAAUGACUGCUGCUGUACAUCACAUCAGGGCCGCUUUGGGGGGAGCAAAAAGGAUGAAACUCCUGACCAUGUGCUGUGGUUUUGAAGAUGCAGUUUCCAACCUUUUGGCUCGGCGGAUGCAGAUUUAAGCCAUUCAGCCUAUGUGGCAAUGGGACACAAUUUAGUGCAAAAUUGUUUUCUAUGUUUCUGUCCUUUCAUUCUCUUUCUGUGAAGGAAAAUAUGUUUGCGGGAAAGGAUUCAUCUCCUCAAACUCAAGGUUUGUAGCCGGUGAAGCCAGAUCAUCCUUGGGCUAAUUAAGGCUGAGUCUCCUGGUCAGGCAAUAACGUGCCAUUUCUUUUGGCACAGUUAUUUUUGCUCAUUUGGUUCAACACACAGGGAAGGGAAGUGGGUGCCAAAGAGAUGGUUAGGACAAGCUGUUUGUAUCUGGUCUUAAAUAGGAAACAGUUUCUCCAUCCUCGAUUUCUUUCUCACUUUAUUUGAGCUAUAUUAAGUGAAUGUUAUGCACAAGUUAUUUUCAGAAAGUGGUAAUUAUAUUAAAUUUUCUUCUUCCGGUAUUCUUUCAUUUUCUAAUGUAUUCAAAUGCUGGUAAGAUAUUGUCCAGACAAGAUGAUGAUAAAAUCUGAUCAUCUGUUACUGUUUAGUAAUGAAAGCAAAAUUGGAAGAUUGUGUAGCAACUUUAAAAAGGGUACUUUGACAGUUUUUAUUUUAUUGGAGUUGUUCUAGUCUAUUAUUUAACAAACCAUCUCUUUAUUGCUUAAAGAAGUGAUUGCAAUAUUUCACAAGGAGCUCAUUCUUCUUCCAUUUCUAUUCACUUGUGCAGCGUUCUUCUGAUAGCUUUGUGCUCUGCUUCUCAUGCUAAUUCCUUUUACAGCAGCUGCUGGAGAAUCUUAAUGAAAUUUGGCAUUUCAGCCCCCUUCACUGCCUGCCAUAUACAGUGCAGCAGCACAACCUGAUCGACCAUACACAUUACCACUUCAGCACAGGCUAGUGGUAAAGCUGGCCACUCGGCUCCUGAGCCUGCAAACCUUUCCUCUAAUAUCCUUUAUUUAGAUGUAUACCCCUUUUGAAGUCACUGUGUAUAAAGCAAAUACUAGAACAUCUUUUCAGGACCAAAUUGGUAUUGCUCCAGCAAUGGCCAAAGCUAAAUGUUUGUAGCAGAGGGAGAACAUGUAUAAGGCAGUUAAUUUAAUGAUGGUAGAAAAUUGUUGCAUUUUUUUUGACCAAAGAAAACCAUCAGUUUACUCUCCAGUGCUAUAAACUACUCUGACAUUUCAAAUCUAGUGAGCGAGACGGUGAAAACUAUAUUAAUACUCAUGAAAAUCAGCCCUGAUUUGAAACUCUUGGUGGGGAGUUCUGCAGGUUAGUUGAAUUAGAGUCUGUGUGUGCUGCUUUAACCUAUCAAUUUUUAUCUUUUAGUUUUAUUGAUAGAUCUUUUGCUUGUGUAAUCAGGAGAAAAUGAACAUGAGAGUCCAAACAGCUUUCUAAUUCUUCUUCUGCUGUCCAAUCAUCAGUGUUUUUUCAUUUCUCCUCUAUAAGGAAUGUGAUGAAACAGUUUUCCAUGUUCCUGAAAACACAUCCAGGCAAAUUUCAUUUAGGCUGCAAAGGUUUGUUAGGUCUAGCUCCAAGCCUGCUACUGCUUAACUGGGUGAAAAGAAAAUAUUCUUAUUUUCUUUACACUCAUGGAUACAUAUAAAAAUGUACAUGAAUAUGUAUGUUUUGUAGAGAUAAGAAAUUUUGGAAUUUUACAGUUGCUAAUUUAAGGUGUUGCAUCUAACUUAUAUUUGCUACACAGGCUCUCAAAGCAACUUUUACAGAGGUUAGAAAUGGAAGAUAAAGGAGUAUACUCUCUCAGUAUAUUCUGUCAUUGUCUCUGCAGGGCAGCUCUUCUAAAAGGGUUCCCCUUUUUAUAUCCCCUGGUCUAUACUGAAAAUCAGCCCUGAACCGAAGUUGGCAGUCAGUGGUUGAACAUGAAGAAAGCUGGGAGGUGGUAUUUCUUCAACUGCUUUUUUAAUUCUGAUCAUUUUUUUCACUGACCUGGUGAGGUGAGGGGCUGAGCCCUGAGGGACGCUCUCACUUUUGGUGCCCAGCGCCUGGUGCACACCGGGCAUGACCCGCUCUGGGAACAGCGGCAUGUGAGGAGUUUGACUGGGGUGGUACAGGUACAUCUCUCAAUGUGUAACACAGAUGUCCUCAGGAGAGCUCAGGGAGGAUGGAAACCUCCGACAGAGCAGGGGGGCAAAAGCUCGCUUAAUUCUUGAUUUUCAGUACAAAUAGAGGCCAUGAAAGCAGGACCUCGCGAUCGUCCUGGCUUCUGGGGUUUUAAACAAGAGGUGUCAGUAAAGUUCUCACAGGGAUAACUGUCUUGUAGUGGCCAAGCGUUCAUAGUGACAUCGCCGUUUGAUCCUUCGAUGUUGGCUCUUCCUAUCAUUGUGAAGCAGAAUUCAAGCAUUGGAUAGUUCACCCGCUAUUAGGAAACGUGAGCUGGGAUUAGGCCGUUGUGAAACAGGUUAGUUUUAUGCUACUAAUGAUGUGUUGUUGCAAUAGCAAUCCUGCUCAGUACGAGAGGAACUGCAGGUUCAAACCCUUGGUGUGAGGCUACCAUCUGCAGGGCUUAUGACUCAAUGCCUCUCAGUCAGAAUGCCUCCUAGACAUAGCAAUACCUCAGCACUGCUGGUGCCUGGAUGGGCUCACAAUAGCUGGCCACCCACCUCAUGAGGAGCCAGCCUGGUGCGGAGUGCUGCUCAGGACCAGAGGGGUGGGCAGAUACGGCACCACCUCUCCCCCACCACAUAUAAUUGUGGGGUACUUGGCAC